Long non-coding RNA from Bombus pyrosoma, 3313 nucleotides. RefSeq lists it as uncharacterized. Lineage: Eukaryota; Metazoa; Arthropoda; Insecta; Hymenoptera; Apidae. The record is from RefSeq and is a predicted model, not a curated record. The transcript is spliced from 2 exons.
UGGCUUAAAUUGACAUAAAUGUGAAUACACUCAGCGGUAUAUCGUUGAUAUAUCACUUAACUUAUGUUCAAAACUCUAUAUAAUUUCUCGAUUUUUACGUAUUUAUUAUACAGAGAAAAGAUCUCAUCUCCACUUACAUCCAACCUGCUGCACUGUACCAUAACUGUACUAUUGGCUUGGCAACUAAGUGAUCGCGGAUUUUCUCAUUAGGUGGUAUUGACAAAAUCCGCAACCACUUAGUUGCCAACCCAAUAUACUGUACUAUUUCGCAAUACGAUGUAAGAUAAGCAAAUUUAUUAGAACGCAAGCUAUCGAUACACAGAGCGAAGUAAUUAGCAAGAUAAGAGUCUAGAAAAUGAAGGUAAACACGGUGACUAAGACGAGAGGCAAUCGUUAUGAUAAACAAUAAUUAUAAGACAAGCUAAUGACUCAAACCUCUCGAAACAGAGAACACGGCUGACGUGUAAAUUCGCGAAUAUCUUUGCUUAACAACGUGCACGCGUUUAUACUUUAUCGGUACAUACGCAACAACGGAAACGUUUUAAACAAAGAUAUUGCAGGGUCAGACUGUUUAACGAACGACCUUUCCAGAGUUGAGCCAACGUUAUGUGGCGGCGGUAACGGUUUCGAGGCAAUGAGGUUCGCAUGGUAUCGCGUUCUCAGUCGCGGAUCGUGUCCUUUUCGCCUCGAUAUUUCAUGGCUCGCGGACGUACUAUUCCCUCACGCUUCCUACUCGCGCACAUCGCCGCAACACUCAUCUUCCUGUUCCACGGCUCGACAUUUAUCCACGGCUGUGACAGAUAGGCUCACAGUGCAGAAACUCUCGAAGGAGGGGAGAAAAUUAAAGAGGAGAAAAGAAAUGGCAACGAUCGAUGAAAGAAAAUACCACAGACGCGUCAGAAUGACGUAGUAUACACGGUGUGAGGAGAAAAAUAUAAUGAAAGCAGUUGUCAACGAUGUGCAAAGUGAUUUCAGGAUGAAUUAUAGAGCCGGCUAACCGCAAACCUACUGCUAUACGCGCGAUUGCUUACGCGUUUACACGGAUAUUGCUCGUGUCUGGUGCCUAAUAAAAACCGUAGAUUUACCGUAGCAGUGAUAUCAUCCGAGAAAGUGCAGGCGCAAUUGGAUUAUUUAAUAUGCAAUAAUUCAUCGUGCCUAUGGUGAAUCGGCGCGAAAUUACGAUAUCAAAGAAGAGGAGAAAAGAAAAAGAAACGGGGUAAUAAAGAGAUACGGCUCAUAUAUGCAUAUAUGUAUAUAUGUAUAUCAGCUAAUAUAGAAAGACCACCCUGUACGCGAGAGGGACAUUCGUGGGAAGUAUUUAACACCGACUAACGAAACGAAGCAACAAGACUAUCGAGAGAGCUACUGACCUUCCAUUCAGUCAUUGAAUCAAGGCGAUUUUGAGCGGCUAAUCUACACUUGCGGCUCGUUGAAUGGCUUCGAUCUACCAUGUAUUACAGGGAGGCCUAGUGACACACAGGUUCCGACAAAAUUGCCGCUAAUGCCCUACACACUGAGCCGGACCUGUUUGUGCCGCUUAACGAAGUUUGAAAGGGUUCAGUUAUUAGAGAGAAUCGUAAAAGACACGCUCCGCUCACUGGCCACCAGUUAUACUUCGAAGGAUCGAGUAUAAUACCCAGCAAAAAGUGAACAGCGCGUCAAAGAAUACCGGCUAGGUGUUAAAAGGAAAAGCAUCCGUUCGAAUCUGUUAACUUUAAUUGUUAUAUUCUUUAAUAUACUUAUAUAGUUUGAUUUAUGAUUUUUAUAUUUUGAUAUUUCUCAAGUUCAAAGUUGUAAAUUUAAAAUUAAUUAAAUUGAUAGUGCCUUUUUCCCUUUAAACUUCUACAUUUAGAUUCUAAUUUUGAUUUUCAUUCGAUUUUAUCAAAUCUAGAUUUUAAAUUCUAGCGGGCAAAGAAUAAGAAAUUUCUUUAGACGUGUAUUUAUUGACCCACAUCGAUCAUAACACGAUAUUUAUGCAGACAUCGGUCAGACAGUUCGCACAUCGGCAUCAUUUAUUUACAAAGACCAUACACCACUAUUAGAUCAUGCUAAUUCUUGUUCUACUUACAGUUCUUUUCAAAGAACAAUGAACAACCCGUCGUGACUGGCUUUUACUUUAAAUUACUUUCAUCGAAGCAAUAUCAAUGUGUCACUGAAAAUUUAUUGAAAAUUUAUGAAAUCGUUAACAUAUCAUUAUGAGUUAAACGAUAACAUUUCUGUAGACUGUGUAUUAUAUAUGCGUAUACUUUUUAACUCUCGUUUUCUUUAAUAUAUUACUAACUUAUUUAUCCGGUAACUUCUUCCAUAAUGGAUUUAAGAAAAUACUCUUUUCAUUUUCAUUUAUCGACUACCUUCCUCCCUCGUCACAAGCAACAACAUAAAUACAUAAUCACAUACUGCCUCCGCCUAUUUCCAUCGUUAUACAUACAUUACACGCGUACCAAUUAUUUUAAUUUUAAAACACACUCCUAUCUUAAAUCAACAUCCUACCUCCCAGAGCAUAUACUCCAAUAUAUUUAAUAAUAUAAUAACAGCCUGCACACUACAGAAUAUAUUAUGUUAUUACAAUAUCCAAUAAACUAUUACUAUAUAGUAUCCAAUAAAUAUUUCAAUCACUGAGUUAUACGUGUUCCAGUCAUUGAGGAAAAUGGAUAAUUGAGGAAAAUCGAUGUCUUUAAAAUUCAGGUACUACUAAUGUUGUAAAACUUAUAUAAAUCGACAAAAUUGUCAUGAGAAAUUACAAAUUGGUUCUUUCAACUACCCUAGCAGAUUCAGUGUUAAACAAGAGGAACCACAAUUAAACAAUUAUGUAUCUAAUUAAAACAGAGAUCCGCUAUUAUUCUUAAUAUAAUUUCAAAUUUGCCGCGGCUAUCGUAACUCGCCUAUCGCUGUCGUUGAUAUCGAUUCGUUAACAACAGUUGAUCGCGAUACAUUAAAAUAUAGAUUUUUAUGAAAAAGAGAAGAAGAAGGAAAAUGAGGCAACCUGCACGAUCCAAGCUUAUUCACGUGUUGAAUUGGAAGACAAACGCGCAAACAAAGGUGGAACAAAUAGACACCUGCGAGCAACUUUCGAGACGAAAAUGCCCUCGGCCUACUUCCCGCCAUGAAUAAUACUCAUUUUUGCAUUAUCUGGUUUUCAUCUGUGGCCAGUGGACGGUUGCGUUUCUCUUUGCCGAAUGAGAGGUACAUAAUACUUUGUCUCUUCUCUUUUACUCGUGACUUUUGUGAACCAUGCCUUCCAAAAACGUGAACUUAAUUUCAGAAGUGAAUUAUGUACACUAUUACAACUUACAUUAAACUAUACACAUAUGAA